GACGAACGCUGGCGGUGCGCCUUAUGCAUGCAAGUCGAGCGAAGCUUUUCAGUAGUUUACUACAGAAAAUGACUGAGCGGCGAACGGGUGAGUAACGCGUGAGCAAUCUACCUUAGUUACAGGGAUAGCCCGAGGAAACUCGGAUUAAUACCUGAUAUUCUUUAUAUUUCGCAUGAAAUUAAAAGGAAAGGUCAGCCGAACUAAGAUGAGCUCGCGUUCUAUCAGCUAGUUGGUGAGGUAAAAGCUCACCAAGGCUACGACGGAUAGCUGGUCUGAGAGGACGAUCAGCCACACUGGGACUGAGACACGGCCCAGACUCCUACGGGAGGCUGCAGCAGGGAAUAUUGCGCAAUGAGCGAAAGCUUGACGCAGCGACACCGCGUGUGGGAUGACGGAUCUAGGUUUGUAAACCACUUUCAGGAGGGAAGAAAAUGACGGUACCUCCACAAGAAGCCCCGGCCAACUACGUGCCAGCAGG
Molecule: ribosomal RNA, 478 nt
Filed under: uncultured bacterium
Lineage: Bacteria
Description: bacterial SSU rRNA
Rfam family: Bacterial small subunit ribosomal RNA
Source: RNAcentral